This 1343-nucleotide long non-coding RNA is filed under the name Citrus x clementina. RNAcentral describes it as "Citrus clementina (C. clementina) long non-coding RNA (CCLE_LNC005641)". The record is from RNAcentral. Lineage: Eukaryota; Viridiplantae; Streptophyta; Magnoliopsida; Sapindales; Rutaceae.
CGUUGUCCACGCCCAUUAUUCUCCCCACCCUCGGAUGUGGAUGCCCCAUUGUCGUCAUUGUGGGCGAAUGGAGAUGGACUUCGUGCCUUGAUUCUCGGAUAGGAAUGCACGUCUUGCCAAUUGUCGUUGACCGGGUCUCCUCGCCUCGACCCCUAGCAGGAAUGGCCUUAUGCCUCUAACAGGAAUUCGUCCUCGUGAAUGGCAUAUUCAUGGACGAGCAGAAUAUUCCUGCUCCUGUUCCCCUGCUACCAGGCUCUUACAGGACACACUUGUUCGCAGAACUCUGCCACCAAAUAUCUGCUCAUCACGUCUGGUCUCGUCGAAGUAUUUCCCUCAAACAAUUCAAUUCUAUUCUCAAAUUGGCAACGGAAAUGUAAUCAACUAGUCAUCCAAAUUUAAUUCAAUUUGGUCAAUGAAAUUAUGAAGAAGUGUAUGGUUGACCAGUGAAGGGUUCCAUUUUGUAUAUAAAAUAAAUUAAUUAAUUUAUUUAACAAGUUAUGAGUGGUGAUGAACAUUUCCAAAAUGUAAUAAAUUAAUUGUUGCCUCAAUUAAUAAAGUAUGAUGGUUGCUUGUGGAAUGUGGAAACAUUCAACUUGCCUUAUAAGAUGGGUUAUGCUUUAACCCAAUUUUUCCAAUUUUCAAUGUCUAUUUGUUAUUAAAGAUAGAAUAAGGACUUGAGAGGCAGAGGGCCGCUCAUCAGUCAUUUUUUAACACACAUGACAUCUCACCUGUAAGAAAGCACUUUUUUAUGAUAUGGUCAUUGGAUUUACGUAGGCCGAGACUUUACUAAAUUGCCCAUAAUUAUUCUUUGGCUCCCUUAUCAUUAAUAUAUUUUAAUUGCAAAAAUAAGCUUAAAAUUGCUUUAGAACCAAAAUAAUAUGGUAUAUUAGCUUCAGUAUAUUACUAAUAUGGUUUUACAAUCAAAAUCUCUCUUCCAGACUCUAAUAUUUAAUUUUGUGGGUUAUUUGAUAAUACAUUUUUAGAAAAGAAAAUAAAACUCUAACAAUUUUCGUUGGCAAUACUAUAAAAUAGAUUAAUUUUUGUUUCUGAACUUACAAAAUUAAUAAAGUGAUGGCUUUGAUUAUUGGCAAAAUUCUUGAUAGUACCCAAAAGUAUAAAAAGAAGAAGAAGAAGAAGAAGAAAAGAAAUCAAGUAGACCUUGAAAAUUGAACUAUGCAAAUGCACCUGAAGUAGAUAACAGAUUACCUAAUCAGGCCAAACAAAUUAUAAUAAAUUGGUUGACUGCAAGCAUGGUAGAAAUUUAAGUUCAAUAAAAUAAUUGUGAUAUUUAUAAUCCAUUCUUGUAGGUCCAGUUGGGUUUGUUUUUAGAGGUUCAAAAGUAA